GGAGAGGUGCCUGAGUGGCCGAAAGGAACGGUUUGCUAAAUCGUCGUACGGGUAACACUGUACCGUGGGUUCGAAUCCCACCCUCUCCG
Molecule: transfer RNA, 89 nt
Filed under: Ferruginibacter lapsinanis
Lineage: Bacteria; Pseudomonadati; Bacteroidota; Chitinophagia; Chitinophagales; Chitinophagaceae
Also listed under: 5 other names
Description: tRNA-Ser
Rfam family: tRNA
About the family: Transfer RNA (tRNA) molecules are approximately 80 nucleotides in length.
Source: RNAcentral